UUACCUACGGGACGCAGCAGUGGGGAAUAUUGGGCAAUGGGCGCAAGCCUGACCCAGCAACGCCGCGUGAAGGAAGAAGGCUUUCGGGUUGUAAACUUCUUUUCUCGGGGACGAAGCAAGUGACGGUACCUGAGGAAUAAGCCACGGCUAACUACGUGCCAGCAGCCGCGGUAAUACGUAGGUGGCAAGCGUUAUCCGGAUUUACUGGGUGUAAAGGGCGUGUAGGCGGGAAAGCGAGUCAGAUGUGAAAACCAAGGGCUCCACCUGUGGCCCGCAUUUGAAACUGUUUUUCUU
RNAcentral lists this ribosomal RNA (294 nucleotides) under uncultured bacterium. Its description in RNAcentral is "partial 16S ribosomal RNA". It matches the Rfam family "Bacterial small subunit ribosomal RNA", at positions 335 to 643 of the family's 1533-position model. The record is from RNAcentral.